CCGAGUGCUGCGAGCUCCAUAUCAGACCCAACCACAGAGAGCAGAGGCUCCAGAGUCAGGGGACAGUAUUGAACUUUUGAUGGCAUGAGGAAACAAACUGGUUUCACCAAAGUUGCACGAGGGCCAGAAACUAAAUGGCUUCAUGAUUGACAAUACAUUUACAUCAAAGGCAGUGUACAUUAGACAAUGACACAUUUACGUUUGUCACCACAGAUUUAGAGGACAGUGGUGUGGAGGUUGACACGACAACAGCAUCUAGUGACCACAGAAGUACCACACCAGUCAUUGUAUGACUACAAGGACUAAGGAUACCUUAAUCCACCUGAGUGACAGAAUAUUUGCUGUUGAGACUGUUCUGAAAUAUUUGGUUUCUGCAUGCAACAAUAAAUAAGAAACAUUUGUUUGCUUGGGACAAGAUCUUUGUUAACCAGUAUAAUAGUGAUUUCCUGACCUGUCCAUAACUUGAUAAUAAAUAUCUAAAUAUUA
Long non-coding RNA from Trichomycterus rosablanca, 486 nucleotides. RefSeq lists it as uncharacterized. The record is from RefSeq and is a predicted model, not a curated record. Lineage: Eukaryota; Metazoa; Chordata; Actinopteri; Siluriformes; Trichomycteridae. The transcript is spliced from 3 exons.